RNAcentral lists this ribosomal RNA (253 nucleotides) under uncultured bacterium. Its description in RNAcentral is "partial 16S ribosomal RNA". It matches the Rfam family "Bacterial small subunit ribosomal RNA", at positions 524 to 776 of the family's 1533-position model. The record is from RNAcentral.
UACGUAGGGCGCAAGCGUUAUCCGGAAUUAUUGGGCGUAAAGAGCUCGUAGGCGGUUUGUCGCGUCUGCCGUGAAAGUCCGGGGCUUAACUCCGGAUCUGCGGUGGGUACGGGCAGACUAGAGUGCAGUAGGGGAGACUGGAAUUCCUGGUGUAGCGGUGAAAUGCGCAGAUAUCAGGAGGAACACCGAUGGCGAGGGCAGGUCUCUGGGCUGUAACUGACGCUGAGGAGCGAAAGCAUGGGGAGCGAACAGG